GGGGCCGACGGAUGGACCCUCCUUACCGAACGAUAUUUGAAUGUGCAGUGUCCACACAGAUUGUCUGAUGAAAAAGUAACGAGCAGAGAAACCUUUAUAGGCUUGGAGCUCAGGUGGUUAGAGCGCACCCCUGAUAAGGGUGAGGUCGGGGGGUCAAGUCCACUCCGGGCUACCAAAUUCUUCCUCAUACUGCGUUAUGCUCGCGGUCGUUUACCCAAGUAAACUUCCCGUUCGCAUGCCUUGUCUGAAAAAGAAUUGACUCGGUAUGAAUAAAGGUCUCUGCAAGACUGUAUGGGGCUAUAGCUCAGCUGGGAGAGCGCCUGCCUUGCACGCAGGAGGGCAGCGGUUCGAUCCCGCUUAGCUCCACCAUAUCGGUCCUGUAUUUAUAAUACUUCAGAAUAUAUUGGCGACAGUAUGCUGCGAAGUAUUUUGCUCUUUAACAAUCUGGAACAAGCUGAAAAUUGAAAUGAUGAAUAAUCGGAAGAUUAUUCACGAGUCUCUCAAAAGCGAACAGCCGAUGAUGGAAACAUCUUCGGGUUGUGAGGUUAAGUGACUAAGCGUACACGGUGGAGCCCUUGGCCAGUGGUUGCCUGCGACAGUCCUUAACCUCCAACCCUUAAAUUUUUCCAUCUUGGCAGUGGGUUUUUUGAGAGACUCGCUGAAAUAAACUUCCCAUUAUAAUCAUUUUCAAUUUUCAGCUUGAUUCCGAAUUGGAAAGAGCACAAUACGUCUAGCAGACUGUCGCCAAUAUUCUCUGAAGCAUUAUAAAUACGGACCAUAGGUGGAAGCUAAUGGGAACAAACGCUUAAAUCCGCAGAAAAGGAAGCCUCUCCCAUUAGUAUGACCUCAAGCUUGCAGAAUCUUUAUUUCUGCGCGGCCUUUUUUUUAUAAAGGGAUGGCGACGAGUAAGUUUUCUCCGUUAAAGACGGGGAUAAAGGAUAAAUAGGAAGAAUUGGAGGGCGGAAUGGGAUUGACCCCGACCUCCCCUAUAGGGAGGGGGCUCACCCACUAUAACUUAUAGGGGUUGUGCUCCUCUUAUUUUUCACAAAAUAGGGGGCAACCCGCCAUUAAUUAUAUUUCCUAG
Molecule: transfer RNA, 1084 nt
Filed under: Gibbsiella quercinecans
Lineage: Bacteria; Pseudomonadati; Pseudomonadota; Gammaproteobacteria; Enterobacterales; Yersiniaceae
Also listed under: 1 other name
Description: partial may contain 16S ribosomal RNA, 16S-23S ribosomal RNA intergenic spacer, and 23S ribosomal RNA
Rfam family: Salmonella enterica Typhi npcRNA 44 (bases 435-536)
Source: RNAcentral